Molecule: long non-coding RNA, 1205 nt
Organism: Globicephala melas (long-finned pilot whale)
Lineage: Eukaryota; Metazoa; Chordata; Mammalia; Artiodactyla; Delphinidae
Source: RefSeq, a predicted model, not a curated record
CAGAUUUAUCUGCUUGAUUUCCGGAUUGUCCCUGCAUAAGGAUGCAGAGGAGGGCAGAUGGUGACAGAGUUCCUGAUAAUGAAACAACAGGUCAUCCCUUGGGUUCAGUGGCCUCCUUCAUCAUGUUACUGGCUGCAGUGGACUUAGGAAUGCGGUGAACACAGGGGAUAGAGAAUGACUCAGAACAGAAAUCUCUAGGCCAGUGGGGAGCAGACGUUUCAUCAGAGUAUCUGAUUGCUUGAAGAUGAUGAAGGAGGGUUUUGGGAUGCAGAAUUUUCUAAAACCACCUGGAAGCCUGGGAACCUCUCCCUCCAGCCACAAGGCCCUGCCCCACACCCUGCAGCAGCCAAUGUGGAAAAUCACACUCCAACCACCGCAACAAUAGGCCCCAAGGGUCAGGACUUGGACAGUGACUCACAGCUUCGCCAUUUUCAUUCCUUUCCAUGUAGAAUCAAAUGCGGGGAAAGCCAAAUAUGUUCCCUUAAGUAAUCACUUAGGACGCCCCUCUUCCUAUCAACUUGUCUCCAGCCUCCUCACAUCACAAGCUCUGGGGAGCACAUGCCUUCCUUUUUUUGCCACCAGAAAGUGUCCCCACACUUAUGUGUGCCCUGAGUCUCAGCCUGAUGUGAGUGGUGGUGGCUGACUCCUGUGCUCUAUAGACAAGUUCUGAGUAAAUAGUGCUUGUUCUCAUUUGGUGUGUGUGUUGGGGGGUCUUUUUUCAUAUCUACAGAGCUUAGGAUGGCAGGAAGCAAAUAAAACUCAUGAUAAUGUUUCCCAUGUUAUUUUAAAAAUCACAUUUAUUAAUCACCAUUUUUUAAGUUGAGACAUAAUUCACAUACUAUAAAAUUCACUCUUUGAAAAGUGUAGAAUUUAGUGAUUGAUAAUCUAUUCACAAAGUUGUGCAACCAUUGGCACUAAUAACAGAACAUUUAAUCACCUCAAAAAGAAACCCCAUCCCCAUUAGUCUCUUCUAUUCCACCUAUGCUCAGGCCACGGCCACCACAAAUGUGCUUUCUGUCUCCAUGGAUAUGCCUAUUCUCAAUAUUUCAUGUGACUGGAAUCAUACAAUAUGUGCCCUUUAUGUCUGGCUUCUUAUACUGAAUAUCAUGCUUUUGAGGCUCAUGCUUUAGAAUGUAUCAGUAAUGUACUCCUUCGUUUGGCCUAAGAAUUUUUCUUUUUAAGCCAUAAGAUUUUACGUACAUUCA